GCUUAACACAUGCAAGUCGAGGGGCAUCAGGAAGAAAGCUUGCUUUCUUUGCUGGCGACCGGCGCACGGGUGAGUAACACGUAUCCAACCUGCCCUUUACUCGGGGAUAGCCUUUCGAAAGAAAGAUUAAUACCCGAUAGCAUAAUGAUUCCGCAUGGUUUCAUUAUUAAAGGAUUCCGGUAAAGGAUGGGGAUGCGUUCCAUUAGGUUGUUGGUGAGGUAACGGCCCACCAAGCCUUCGAUGGAUAGGGGUUCUGAGAGGAAGGUCCCCCACAUUGGAACUGAGACACGGUCCAAACUCCUACGGGAGGCAGCAGUGAGGAAUAUUGGUCAAUGGGCGCUAGCCUGAACCAGCCAAGUAGCGUGAAGGAUGAAGGCUCUAUGGGUCGUAAACUUCUUUUAUAUAAGAAUAAAGUGCAGUAUGUAUACUGUUUUGUAUGUAUUAUAUGAAUAAGGAUCGGCUAACUCCGUGCCAGCAGCCGCGGUAAUACGGAGGAUCCGAGCGUUAUCCGGAUUUAUUGGGUUUAAAGGGAGCGUAGGUGGACUGGUAAGUCAGUUGUGAAAGUUUGCGGCUCAACCGUAAAAUUGCAGUUGAUACUGUCAGUCUUGAGUACAGUAGAGGUGGGCGGAAUUCGUGGUGUAGCGGUGAAAUGCUUAGAUAUCACGAAGAACUCCGAUUGCGAAGGCAGCUCACUGGACUGCAACUGACACUGAUGCUCGAAAGUGUGGGUAUCAAACAGGAUUAGAUACCCUGGUAGUCCACACAGUAAACGAUGAAUACUCGCUGUUUGCGAUAUACAGUAAGCGGCCAAGCGAAAGCAUUAAGUAUUCCACCUGGGGAGUACGCCGGCAACGGUGAAACUCAAAGGAAUUGACGGGGGCCCGCACAAGCGGAGGAACAUGUGGUUUAAUUCGAUGAUACGCGAGGAACCUUACCCGGGCUUAAAUUGCAGUGGAAUGAUGUGGAAACAUGUCAGUGAGCAAUCACCGCUGUGAAGGUGCUGCAUGGUUGUCGUCAGCUCGUGCCGUGAGGUGUCGGCUUAAGUGCCAUAACGAGCGCAACCCUUAUCUUUAGUUACUAACAGGUUAUGCUGAGGACUCUAGAGAGACUGCCGUCGUAAGAUGUGAGGAAGGUGGGGAUGACGUCAAAUCAGCACGGCCCUUACGUCCGGGGCUACACACGUGUUACAAUGGGGGGUACAGAAGGCAGCUAGCGGGUGACCGUAUGCUAAUCCCAAAAUCCUCUCUCAGUUCGGAUCGAAGUCUGCAACCCGACUUCGUGAAGCUGGAUUCGCUAGUAAUCGCGCAUCAGCCACGGCGCGGUGAAUACGUUCCCGGGCCUUGUACACACCGCCCGUCAAGCCAUGGGAGCCGGGGGUACCUGAAGUACGUAACCGCAAGGAUCGUCCUAGGGUAAAACUGGUGACUGGGGCUAAGUCAUAACA
RNAcentral lists this ribosomal RNA (1444 nucleotides) under uncultured organism. RNAcentral describes it as "SSU rRNA". It matches the Rfam family "Bacterial small subunit ribosomal RNA". The record is from RNAcentral.